AGCGAACGCUGGCGGCAGGCCUAACACAUGCAAGUCGAGCGCCGUAGCAAUACGGAGCGGCAGACGGGUGAGUAACGCGUGGGAACGUACCUUUCGGUUCGGAAUAACUCAGGGAAACUUGAGCUAAUACCGAAUACGUCCGUAAGGAGAAAGAUUUAUCGCCGAAAGAUCGGCCCGCGUAAGAUUAGCUAGUUGGUGAGGUAACGGCUCACCAAGGCUAUGAUCUUUAGCUGUUCNGAGAGGAAGAUCAGCCACACUGGGACUGAGACACGGCCC
This 276-nucleotide ribosomal RNA is filed under the name uncultured bacterium. Its description in RNAcentral is "partial 16S ribosomal RNA". It matches the Rfam family "Bacterial small subunit ribosomal RNA", at positions 29 to 332 of the family's 1533-position model. The record is from RNAcentral.